UAAUGUAUGGGGAUCUGCCCGAUAGAGGGGGAUAACUACUGGAAACGGUGGCUAAUACCGCAUAAUGUCUACGGACCAAAGCAGGGGCUCUUCGGACCUUGCACUAUCGGAUGAACCCAUAUGGGAUUAGCUAGUAGGUGGGGUAAAGGCUCACCUAGGCGACGAUCUCUAGAUGGUCUGAGAGGAUGAUCAGCCACACUGGGACUGAGACACGGCCCAG
This 220-nucleotide ribosomal RNA is filed under the name uncultured bacterium. RNAcentral describes it as "partial 16S ribosomal RNA". It matches the Rfam family "Bacterial small subunit ribosomal RNA", at positions 111 to 334 of the family's 1533-position model. The record is from RNAcentral.